This 497-nucleotide ribosomal RNA is filed under the name uncultured bacterium. RNAcentral describes it as "partial 16S ribosomal RNA". It matches the Rfam family "Bacterial small subunit ribosomal RNA", at positions 28 to 507 of the family's 1533-position model. The record is from RNAcentral.
GAUGAACGCUGGCGGCGUGCCUAAUACAUGCAAGUCGAGCGAACGGACGAGAAGCUUGCUUCUCUGAUGUUAGCGGCGGACGGGUGAGUAACACGUGGAUAACCUACCUAUAAGACUGGGAUAACUUCGGGAAACCGGAGCUAAUACCGGAUAAUAUUUUGAACCGCAUGGUUCAAAAGUGAAAGACGGUCUUGCUGUCACUUAUAGAUGGAUCCGCGCUGCAUUAGCUAGUUGGUAAGGUAACGGCUUACCAAGGCAACGAUGCAUAGCCGACCUGAGAGGGUGAUCGGCCACACUGGAACUGAGACACGGUCCAGACUCCUACGGGAGGCAGCAGUAGGGAAUCUUCCGCACUGGGCGAAAGCCUGACGGAGCAACGCCGCGUGAGUGAUGAAGGUCUUCGGAUCGUAAAACUCUGUUAUUAGGGAAGAACAUAUGUGUAAGUAACUGUGCACAUCUUGACGGUACCUAAUCAGAAAGCCACGGCUAACUACGUG